GAUGAAGAACGCAGUGAAAUGCGAUAAGUAAUGUGAAUUGCAGAAUUCAGUGAAUCAUCGAAUCUUUGAACGCACAUUGCGCCCGCCAGUAUUCUGGCGGGCAUGCCUGUUCGAGCGUCAUUUCAACCCUCAGGCCCCCAGUGCCUGGCGUUGGGGAUCGGCGUGGGCGGCGACGGUUCUCCGGAGCCCGAGCCAAUGCCUGCCGGCCCCGAAAUUCAGUGGCGGUCUCGCUGUAGUCCCCCUCUGCGUAGUAGCACAACUCGCAUUGGAGCUCGGCGGUGGCCAUGCCGUAAAACACCCCACUUCUGAAAGUUGACCUCGGAUCAGGUAGGAAUACCCGCUGAACUUAAGCAUAUCAAUAAGCGGAGGA
This 370-nucleotide unclassified non-coding RNA is filed under the name soil metagenome. RNAcentral's name for it is "partial contains 5.8S ribosomal RNA, internal transcribed spacer 2, and large subunit ribosomal RNA". The stretch from base 1 to 120 matches the Rfam family "5.8S ribosomal RNA", at positions 35 to 154 of the family's 154-position model. The record is from RNAcentral.